UCGUUUGACGUUAGCUGCAGAAGAAGCACCGGCUAACUCCGUGCCAGCAGCCGCGGUAAUACGGAGGGUGCGAGCGUUAAUCGGAAUUACUGGGCGUAAAGCGCAUGCAGGUGGUUCGUUAAGUCAGAUGUGAAAGCCCGGGGCUCAACCUCGGAACUGCAUUUGAAACUGGCGGACUAGAGUACUGUAGAGGGGGGUAGAAUUUCAGGUGUAGCGGUGAAAUGCGUAGAGAUCUGAAGGAAUACCGGUGGCGAAGGCGGCCCCCUGGACAGAUACUGACACUCAGAUGCGAAAGCGUGGGGAGCAAACAGGAUUAGAUACCCUGGUAGUCCACGCCGUAAACGAUGUCUACUUGGAGGUUGUGGCCUUGAGCCGUGGCUUUCGGAGCUAACGCGUUAAGUAGACCGCCUGGGGAGUACGGUCGCAAGAUUAAAACUCAAAUGAAUUGACGGGGGCCCGCACAAGCGGUGGAGCAUGUGGUUUAAUUCGAUGCAACGCGAAGAACCUUACCUACUCUUGACAUCCAGAGAAGCCAGCGGAGACGCAGGUGUGCCUUCGGGAGCUCUGAGACAGGUGCUGCAUGGCUGUCGUCAGCUCGUGUUGUGAAAUGUUGGGUUAAGUCCCGCAACGAGCGCAACCCUUAUCCUUGUUUGCCAGCGAGUAAUGUCGGGAACUCCAGGGAGACUGCCGGUGAUAAACCGGAGGAAGGUGGGGACGACGUCAAGUCAUCAUGGCCCUUACGAGUAGGGCUACACACGUGCUACAAUGGCGCAUACAGAGGGCAGCCAACUUGCGAAAGUGAGCGAAUCCCAAAAAGUGCGUCGUAGUCCGGAUUGGAGUCUGCAACUCGACUCCAUGAAGUCGGAAUCGCUAGUAAUCGUAGAUCAGAAUGCUACGGUGAAUACGUUCCCGGGCCUUGUACACACCGCCCGUCACACCAUGGGAGUGGGCUGCAAAAGAAGUGGGUAGUUUAACCUUCGGGAGGACGCUCACCACUUUGUGGUUCAUGACUGGGGUGAAGUCGUAACAAGGUAGCCCUAGGGGAACCUGGGGCUGGAUCACCUCCUUAUACGAA
This 1075-nucleotide ribosomal RNA is filed under the name Vibrio mediterranei. Its description in RNAcentral is "bacterial SSU rRNA". It matches the Rfam family "Bacterial small subunit ribosomal RNA", at positions 465 to 1533 of the family's 1533-position model. Lineage: Bacteria; Pseudomonadati; Pseudomonadota; Gammaproteobacteria; Vibrionales; Vibrionaceae. The record is from RNAcentral.